AGUUAAAUAGCUUAUUUAUAAAGCACAUAUUUUGAAAAUAUGAGAUAAAGGAAUAAUACCCUUUUUAACUU
RNAcentral lists this transfer RNA (71 nucleotides) under Acanthaspis cincticrus. RNAcentral's name for it is "tRNA-Ser". It matches the Rfam family "tRNA". Rfam says of the family: Transfer RNA (tRNA) molecules are approximately 80 nucleotides in length. Their secondary structure includes four short double-helical elements and three loops (D, anti-codon, and T loops). The record is from RNAcentral. Lineage: Eukaryota; Metazoa; Arthropoda; Insecta; Hemiptera; Reduviidae.